GACGAACGCUGGCGGCGUGCUUAACACAUGCAAGUCGAACGAAGUGGCGAACGGGUGAGUAACGCGUAAUCAACCUGCCCUUCAGAGGGGGACAACAGUUGCAAACGACUGCUACUAACGCAUAAUGAAGGAGGGGAUUGCGUCUGAUUAGAUAGGUGGAGGGGUAAAGGCCCACCAAGGCGAGUAUCAGUAGCCGGGCGGGGAGGAGGAGCGGGCACAAUGGGACUGGGACACGGGCCAGACUCCUAAGGGAGGCAACAGUGGGGAAUCUUCCGCAAUAGACGAAAGUCUGACGGAGCAACGCCGCGUGGGUGAUGACGGCCUUCGGGUUGUAAAGCACUGUUAAUCGUGGCGCGGUACCGGAAUAGAAAGCCACGGCUAACUACGUGCCAGCAGCCGCGGUAAUUC
RNAcentral lists this ribosomal RNA (408 nucleotides) under uncultured bacterium. Its description in RNAcentral is "partial 16S ribosomal RNA". It matches the Rfam family "Bacterial small subunit ribosomal RNA", at positions 28 to 526 of the family's 1533-position model. The record is from RNAcentral.